RNAcentral lists this microRNA (21 nucleotides) under Brachypodium distachyon (stiff brome). RNAcentral describes it as "bdi-miR5165-5p". The record is from miRBase by way of RNAcentral. Lineage: Eukaryota; Viridiplantae; Streptophyta; Magnoliopsida; Poales; Poaceae.
AUCUUGGGCUCUAGGUAGGUU